Molecule: long non-coding RNA, 18039 nt
Filed under: Marmota monax (woodchuck)
Lineage: Eukaryota; Metazoa; Chordata; Mammalia; Rodentia; Sciuridae
Rfam family: tRNA (bases 5946-6014)
Source: RNAcentral
UCCGGGAGUCCGGGCGGCCACCGCGUGGGGAGUUGUAGUUCCGCUGUAGAGUCCUGGCGGGGAAGCCCCUCCGCCGGGUGGGAAAACGCGGUGAGAGCGCGGGAGGUGCGGCGCUCGGACCUGACGCGCGAGCCUCCUUCCGCCCGGAGGGGUCGGCAGCCUGAGCUCUCAGACCCCUCCGGGCAGUGGGUGCCUUACCCGGGCCUCGGCCCGAACCUCUCCUGCGUGGGUAGAGGAUGGCGCCUCACUCUGAGGCCGGCUCGGAGGCGAGAAGGACCGAGCGUGGCCGUGGUGGCCGCGUGCCUGCGCGCCUUCUCGGGCGCGGCGGGGAGGGGCGAGCGGAGGGGCCCGGUGCUGCCGGCGCCCCGACUUCGCGGCCGCCGAGACGCGCGGCUGGGCGUGGGGGGAGCGGGGCCGGCAGGCCUCCCCGGCCCGCGGCCGGCCCCCGCGUUGUGGAUGGACUAGAUGCUCCUGAGUAUUCCCACUAAGACGGCGGCCAGCGUUUGGGGAUGGGUUUAAUCAGUGUAUCCAGCAUUAACAAGUAAGUUAUUUCAGUUUACCGUUAAGAAGUAGUCGAUUAAGACAGGGCCUUAGUCGGGCUGAUAUUAUACAGCAUAUCCAACUUCCAGAUCCUCGAGAGGACACCAGGAGUCACUGGAAACUUGGAACUUUUGUCAUCUCCGAAAUUGAGAAGAAUGCAUUCUUUUCGGGUUUUUCUACUGGAAGUUGAAUGUUUUAUUACUUUUGAGAUGUGUUUUGAAGCAAGUCUUUAAUAACUAUGUUAAAUGGAUACAAAUAAAAGCAAAUGUUAUGUAAAAUUCUUUUCUUUUUAAAAAAUUUGUUUAGUUGUAGAUGGACACGAUGUCUUUAUUGGUAUGUUUUUUAAUGUGGUGCUGAGGAUGGGACCCAGUGUCUCGCAUGGGCUAGGCAGGUGCCCCACCACUCAGCCACAAUCCCAGCCCCUAAAAUUCUGUCCUUGUCAACUAAAAAUGUUCCUACAUAACGGAAAGCGAUGAAACAAUGCUCAUGAAAAAAAAAAUUCACCUACAAAUACCACUAGUAAAAUUCACCUCCCUUGUCACUUGAAUUUUGUGUUUCUUACCUAUAAUUUGGACUGUAUUAUAAGGGGUUUUCCCCCCUAUUUUCUGCACUUUUUUGAGAAAGAACCUAGAGGAGAAAAAGGCAUGUCCAUGAAAUUUGUGUUUUUUUAGACCUUAAUCGUUUGCCAAGAAAACAUGGAAAGAAUCUACAUCCUUUUGGUUAUUUAUACUUGGGCAGUUAUAACUUUUUUGAGGGAGAAGGAAAAUGCCUAUUUUGACAAGGGAUUUUUCCAUUUCCCAUAAAAUUCCAUUGAUGUCAGUGGCUGUGUUAUUUUAUGCAUUGAGUGAUAAGAUAUGGAAAAAACAUUUUGAACAAAAUAAUUGUAUAUUUAAAGGGUGCCUCCAUGGUCCUGAAAUUUGACAGCGUUACUUUCUUCCUGAAGAAAGCCACACAAGCCAUUUUCAUUGUCUCCAGAUCAAGAACAUUUUUUGUCUCCCCAUCUCUCUAAAACUAGCGCUGAAACCAGUGAUAAAGUCCGAACUCUUGCUUUGUGACUCAUCCAGGAUAAACUCAGAGUGAUUUGUUAUAGGCAACAGAUAGAAAAUUCAGUCAAUUGAAGUGUUUUACUUGUUUAGACUGUAAAUAAACUGUAAUCAAGAAAUAUAUUUUAAAAUAAAGAUCUUAAACUUGGAAAAUAAGUAAUGUCUUUCAAAUAUGAAUGAUUAUGCUACAAAAGCUUCAAAUGCACUUAAUUGAGACAUUUAAUUUCACUGGGUCUAAGAAAUCAAUGCUUUAAGUAUAGACAACAAGAAGUUUAAAAAUGGGAUCUUUACAUUUGUGCAUUUAAACUUGUAUAUAUGUAAAUUAGUUAAUGAUAAUUAUAUGCACCUCAGCUUCUUCCAAAAUGUAUAUUUAGAGGUUUUAAUCAAAAUCAUGUUUUAAUCAAAAUCAUGUUUCCCCCCCAUUAAAACUCAAUAUAAAACAAUAUGUAAAUAAGGUUCAGUAUAAUUACAAUAAAGAUAUGACAAACUCUGGGUUAUUCUGAAUUGUAUAAACACUUCUCCUUCAAGUCCCGACAAGGAGAGAAGUAAAGAUAAAAUUCAGUGAGACUGCAGUUACUUAGCUUUCCUAUUUGAUAGCAAUUGAAAAAAUAUUGGGAAAACCUUGCUUGCCUCUGAUAAAUGGUGAUAACAUAAUCUACCACAAGAAAUUGUGAGAAUUAAAUGAAAUGAUGUGCCAAAAGUGUACAGAGCUUGCACAUGGUAAAUGCUCACUCUUUUUACAUAUACACACAGACAUGUAUUAGCUUUAGUUAUUGGAAAUAAAAAGAUUAGUAUGCUUUCUUAACUCAUUUCUUUCUUUAAUAUACCUGUUAACAAGGAAGUUUAAAAAUAGAAUUGAUUUCAGAAUUUGUAAGUAUAACUUCUAAAUGUAGUUUCCAUAAUCUUAUUUUGUGUUACUAUGCAAUAAUAGAAAUUUGCAUGGAAAUAUUUGGCCCACUCCAUCAUAAUUUGUAAAGCAUGCAAUUUUUAUGAAGGCAAAACUUGGGAAAAAAUGUGCUUCAAGUGAUUUCAAAGGUUUAGAAUCAAAUAAUUUGUAAAAUUUUCAUCCCAGUUGGCUCAGUGAAAGUAUUAAUACCUUCCAAUCAUUAAGUAAAAAAUAUUUGCAUAAAGAGUUCUUUCUGCACAAACAAUAACUCCAGCUUUCUGGGUAAGCUAAUUGAUAAUAGUCCUAGUGAGUGGUUGUAUUGCUUAGCUGAGUUUGUAUAGCAUGACUGCCAACCAUCUGUGGAAUCCGUGCAGGCUUUUUUUAAAGUAAUGAUCCUGAAUUCAUAGUUUUGAUUACAAAUAAAUUCGUUUGUGAGUUGUUUUUUUUCCUGGUACUGGGAGUUGAAUUCAGGGGCACUCAACCACUGAGCCAAAUCCCCAGCCCUGUUUUGUAUUUUAUUUAGAGACAGGGUCUUGCUGAUUUGCUUAGCACUUUGCUUUUGCUGAGACUGGCUUUGAACUUGAAAUCCUGACUCAGCCUCCCAAGCUUCUGGGAUUACAGGAGUGCACCACUGCAUCAGGCUUGCUUGCUUAUUUAUUUAUUUUUGAGAUUUUGAGAUUACCAAAGAAGCUGGAUUUCUGUGUGGGAACAAGCCCACAGCAAGAACCAUUCCUAUCCACAGAAACACCAUCAAUAUUUUGAAAGAGCCAGGUAACUAAAAUUCCUUUAAAUAAGACCUUUGCAUUACCAAGGCUGAAAUGAUCUAGUCUGAGUGAAAUUUUGAUUCUAUGGAUUUGGAAUUAUUGUGAAUGUAAUUCAUGUUUUCUUGUUCACUUUUUAACCAAUUCUAUACCAUUGUAUGGGUUAGCAGUUUUCAAGAUGUAGACUGUGGACCAUGGUAGUUUUGUAAGUAAUUCUAAUAUAUAAUAUAGAAUGUACUUUAUUGUUCAAGAGAGGAUCCUAGCCAACAUAGGUAGAAAAGAACACUUGCUCAGAGUAGGAAAAAUUUUCUUGGACAGAAGUUUGGAGAAAAUGUAGAAAACAAUGUAUUGCCAGGAGGAGUGUAAACAUUGGUGUGAUGUCUUGAAGAGCAAGUGGAAAUAUCUUAAAAAGCUGACAAUGCAUUCAUGGGCUCAAAAAUUCUGCUCUUGGUACACAUCUAGAACAGAGCUUUCCUUCCUUAUUGUUAUGUCAAAAGUGGCCAAGCAGGACUUGAGACAGCUAGAGUCCCUGAGCAGGUCUCCACUGUCUGAACAGCCCUAGUCCUUUACCUAUGUUUUCCCAGUGUGUAUAGUCAUAAAAGAAAUUUCACUGCUCUUGAGAAUUCAGUACCUGGGAUUGAACUCAGGGACUCCCCCCACACCCACACAAGCUACAUCCCUAGCCUUUUGUAUUUGUUUAUUUUAUAAGUUUUCAGACCGGGUCUCACUGGGUUACCCAGGCUGGCCUUGAACUUGCAAACCCUCUCCUGUCUCAGCCUCCCAAAUUGCUGGGAUUAUAGGAUUUCUUACAUGUUUAUAAGACAUGUACAAAAAUGUCCUUACAGGUAUUUCUGAUAAUAGUAAAAAAGUUAAAAGUAACCUAAAUUGAAAAUAAGUGUCCAUCAAUAGAAGAAUGAAUAAAUAAAUCCUAUUUAUAAUAAAUAGUAGUUUCAUAAUAAAAUACUAUAUUCAGUGUUUUUAAAUGAACCAGAGUUAAGGGCAUCCUUGUGGUCGAAUCUCAAAAAAAUGGUAGGGGGAUAAAGGCAGCAUACACAGUCUUUGUAGAAUAUGGUAUUAUUUACAUAACAUUGGGAAGCAAGCAAAAAACAGUAGCAUAUUGAUUAGGACUACAGGCCUGUAGAAAAAUGUACAAAGAAAUGCUGCAUGCAAAUUAUAACCAAAUUCAAAUUAGUGGUUGUGUCUAAAGUGGGAGCAAGAGGGUGACAGCUGGCGAUCGGAACAGAGUCCUUCAAUUAUAAUACUGAUACUAUAUUUUUUAAAAUAUUUUUUUAGCUGUAGAUGGACACAAUAUCUGCGAGAACUUAACGGGAACUCAAAAGUAGUGGGCACCCGAGGUAGCAGGAGCCGCCUUAUUGCCAGACAGCAGAGGUUUAUAUACACAACUGAAUACACAGCUUGUUUCAAUUUAGCAUCAUCCAGUUACAGCAGUCAGUCAUUAUCUUAAUAAUUAUACACAGCUUAACUUAAUUAUCAUCAUCUUAAUGGCUCGCUGGCAUUACUUCUCAACCACUCCUUCUAGCAAAAUGCCAGGCGCCAACUUGACUUGAUUGUGGCUCUCAACAUGUUUUAUUUUAUUAAAAAUGUUUCCUCAGCCUUACUGGUGGAAAGUCAGCCACCAGCCUCAGCUUUGAGCAGAAUUAAGUGCCGAAAAAAAUACAACAUUCAUUCCUUAAAUAAAUAUCUAUUGCAUACUUUUUUAGUUGCUAUAUUAAGUUGCUAGGGUUACUGUAAUAAAAUACCACAGACUGAGUGGCUUAAACAACAGAAGUGUAUUUUCUCACAUUUCUGGAGGCUAGAAGUCCAAGAUGAAGGCAUCUGAGGUCUUUUGUAGAUAGUGAUCUUCUCCCAGUGUUUGGGUGAUCUUUCCCAAUGUGUAUGUCUGCUAAUCUCAUUUUAUAAGAAUACCAGUCUGUUGCAUUAGGGCCUGCCCUAAUGACCUUAUUUAAAUUUAAUUGUUUCUUUAAAGAGCCUGUCUACAUAUGUUGCAUUCUGAGAUACUGGACAUUAGGACUUCAACAUACAAAUUUUGAAAGGGAUACAGUUCAUCCCCUAAUAGGUAUUUAUUGCUGAGUAAGUCCUUCAGCCCUGGAUGUUACCUAUAGAAAAAAAAAAUGUGUGAAAAAGCGCUGAAACUCUUCGAAGGAGCCACUGCUUGUGUGGUAUUUCUAUACUUAAAUCUUAAAUAAGGAUGUGCAGCCCUACGUCUAUCCUUUGAUUUUUCCCUUACUUGUACUUUAUAAAAUGGUUGAGAAUACUGAAAAUACACAAUAGCAAAAGAAAAAAAAGGCAGUUUUGUUUUCCUUUGUUGGUGCUCUUUUGGAAAUGUCAAAUAGAUAAAACUGGUCAUGCAAUCCAUACUGAUCCCUCCCACUUUUAGUUCAAUCAUUUGUGUUUAUGUUGUGUAGUUAAGCUUAAGUUUACCCUGAUAAACAUAGUGAAUGUUUGUUUUCCCCUAACUAGAUUGGGCAUUAAAGAAAGAGAAUAAAUGCUGGGUCCAUACCUAUAAUCCCAGCUACUUGGGAAGUUGAGGCAAGGAUCACAAGCUCAAAGCUAGCCUCAGCAAUUUAUUGAGGACUUAAGCUACUAAGUGAGACCCUGUCUCAAAAUAAAAAAUAAAAGACCUGGGAUGUGGCUCAGUGGUAAAGUGCCCCUGGCUUCAAUCCCUGGUAUAAUAAUAACAAUAACAAGUGGGCUGGGGCUGUAGCUCAGAGGCAGAGUGCUCACCUGGCAUGUGAGAGGCACUGGGUUAAAUCCUUAGCACCGCAUUAAAAUAAAUAAAGGCGCGCUGUCCAUCUACAACUAUGAUGAUGAUGAUGAUAAUAAUAAUAAUAAUAAUAAUAAUAAUAAUAAUAAUAUUAUUAUAUUCCCCUAAACCUUCUGCUUCAUAAUCCUUGGUCCAUUUCUGCUAGUAUCUGCUCAUGAAAUGGACUCAUAAUGAUACUCUAAGGACCUGAGGGAAAUGCUUUCACACUCACUUUUCUUCUUUGGAUUUGGUUAAUACAUUUUGGGUGUAGCUAUAAUGUUAGAUAACUAUAAAUUUGUUUAUUCACGUUUAUGGGCUUUACACAGUUAUUUCUACAUUCUUGCAGUAAAUAUUACUGAGUUAACAUGUAUAAAGCAUAUUGAUAAUGAAAUGUACUUUAUUAAGCAAAGCUUAACAGUGUUAUUUCACUGUAUAAUGUCUUAUAUUAAAACACAAAAUUUCGGGGCUGGGGAUGUGGCUCAAGUGGUAGCGCGCUCGCCUGGCAUGCGUGUGGCCCGGGUUCAAUCCUCAGCACCACAUACAAACAAAGAUGUUGUGUCCGCCGAAAACUAAAAAAUAAAAUAUUAAAAAAAAAAAACACAAAAUUUCGGAAUCAUAAGCAAUGAUUUUAUUUCAUGAUUAGAGACUUAUGGAUACUAAUCUAGGAAAGAGAUUCUUUGGAUUUUUGUUGUUGUUGUUGUUUUUAGAGACAGAGUCUCACUGAGUUGCUUAGCACCUUGCUGUUGCUGAGGCUGGCUUUGAACUCACAAUCCUCCUAUCUCAGAUUCCUUGUGCCUCUGUACCCAGCAGACCUUUAGUUUUGAAAUGUUUGGUUUUACAAUUUAUAUAUACAAGUUUAUUGGAUAAUGUCAUCAUCCAGUCUCAUUAAGAAGCAUAUAGUACAUGAAGGACAGGUUUGACCCUUGGAUAAUUCUUCUUAGCUCCUCUCCCAGUGACACUGGUCACCUCAUGGAAGAAUUUACCAAUUUGGACUCUCUGAGGAGACAGAGAAAGAUAAAUUAGUAAAGGUUGAAUUAUGAAUUUUAAGAAAAUUGUUUCUUUUUCAAUUUUUUAUUUUGAAAUAAGACUUAGAAAAAAGUUGCAAAAAUAGAAUUCCCUUAUAACCUUUGCCAAUCUUUCCUAAAAUUAACAUCUUACAAAGAUUUUUGUACAUAGUGCAGAGAUCAAAACCAGGAAAUUAACAUCAACAAAACACCAUGAACUAAAUUAAAAACUUUAUUCAAAUUCACCAGUUUCCAACUAAGUUUUUUUUCUGGUCCAGGAACCAGUCCAGAAUCCCAUGCUGCAUUUAUUCGUCAUGUCCUAGUUUUCUCCAAUCAGUGACAGUUUUUCAGCCUUUCAUGGCACUGCUGGAGAGUCAAAGGUCAGUUGUUUUGUAAAAUGUCAGUAUAGAUUUAUCUAAUGUUUUCUCAUUAUUAGAGUAAAGUUGUUCUGGCAGAAUCAUCACAGAAAUGAUGUACUUUCAAUACAGGGAGAAUAUAAUGUUGAUAUUUCUUAUUAUUGAUGAUGCUAACUUUGAUCACUUGGGUUAGAUGGUAUCUGCUGGGUUUCUCCACUGUAAACUACUUAUCUCCUUGUAAUAAGUAUUUAUCAUGUAGACAAAUGUACUUAAUAAAAUGAUGAAAAGAUCUUGUUUCUCAUAUUUGUCCCUGUUUAAUAUUAUCAGCAAUCCAUUAAUAGGUCUUGCCUCAAACAACCGAUGUUUACGUAACAGGGAUUAUUUUCCUUAUUUCUUCUACACUUAUAAAUUGAAUUUCUUGCUGGGCACGGUGGCACAUGUCUAUAAUCCCAGUGGCUCUGGAGGCUGAGACAGGAGGAUCAUGAAUUCAAAGCCAGCCCCAGCAACUCAGCGAGGUGAGACCCUGUCUGUCUAAAAAAAUACAGAAAUGGCUGAGGAUGUGGCUCAGUGUUUAAGUGCCUCUGGGUUCAGUCCCCAGUACCAUAAAUAAGUAAACAAACAAAUAAAUAAAUAUUUAUUCAAUCACAUACUGGUGUCGGACACAUGAAUUUUUAAGAAAACUAUUAUUUUUAAGUAAUAGAAAGAACAUAAGAUAGAGAUUAAAGUUUCAGACUCUGGAAUAAACCACUCUGGAUUAAAUUCUUCUGUGUGAAUUUGGCAAGUUACAUAACCUCUCUCUGCCUUAGUUUUCUCAUUUGUGAAAGGAGAAAAUAACAGCUACUGUGGUUAGUGUGAGAAUUGAGAUAAUACAUACAGUCUUUGGCCUAGCUUUAAUUUUUCUUAGCAAAUGUUUUAUACCAUGCUUAGUUUUGCUAUGUUUCCUCAUCUACAAACUAAAUAUAAAGCAUUUAUUAUAUUCUUGCUUCCCUGAGAAAUUAUGAAAAAUCCAUGAAAUAAAUUUUAAAAUGCCUUAUAAUGUUAAGGAGACUCAUAAUAAGUUCUAAUUUCUUAAAAUGUAUCAAGUUUGAUUAUUGCUAGAAUCAUGAUUCUGUUGUGGGGCUGCUCCGUGGUGUUAGAUAUGUAAAGGACCAUAAACGUGAUUAAAUUAUUUUUAAGAUCUUAGAUAAUGUUUCAAGGGACGGGGAAAGUCAUAUGACUUAAGUAUGAGAAAAUUCAUAUUCUAAUAUCUCCUUAAAUCUCAUUAGGGAUAAAGGAGUCUAGAGUGUGAUAUUUUUCAUAUUGAAUUAUUCCAUUAGGGCUGGGUCUGUAGCUCAGUGGCAGAGCCUAGCACAUGUGAGGCACUGGGUUCAAUCCUUAGCACCUCAUAAAAAUAAACAAAAUAAAAGGCAUUCUGUCCAUUUACAACUACAAAAAAGUUUUUUUAAAAAGAAUUUAUUCCAUUAGAAAUGACUUCUUAUCGGGGCUGGGGCUGGGGCUCAGUGGUAGCGCACGUGCCUGUUAUGUGUGAGGCAUUGGAUUCAAUUCUCAGCACCACAUAUUAAAAAAAUAAAGAUCUAUCAGCAACUAAAAAAUAUUUAAAAAAAGAAAUAACUUAUCAACUCAAUCAAAUGUUUGAUCAAGAUCACUUUUUAUUUGCUAGAAAGAAUAUUUAAUAUUAUAAAAAGUUGCAAAUUAUUUAUAUAUCUUUCCACUUGAAGAAAAUGAAAAUUUUUUUUAUUUGUUCUAAUUAGUUGUACAUGACAAUAGAAUGCAUCAUACAUAAAUGGAGUAUAACUUCUCAUUCUUCUGGUUGUACCUGAUGUAGGAUUCCAUUGGUCGCGUAAUCAUAUAUGCACAUAGGAUCAUAAUGUCUGAUUCAUGCUUCCUACCCCUAUAUCGCCUCCCCUCCCUUCGCUCCUGUCUGUCUAAUCCAAAGUACUUCUAUUCUUCUCUAAUCCUCCCACUUAUUGUGAAUUAGCAUCCACACAACAGUGAAAACAUUUGGCCUUUGGUUCUUUGGGAUUGGCUUAUUUUGUUUAGCAUGAUGUUCUCCAGCUCCAUCUAUUUACUGGCAAACACUAUUUCAUUCAUCUUUAAGGCUGCUUAAUAUUCCAUUGUGUAUCUAUACCACAUUUUCUUUAUCCAUUCAUCUGUUGAAGGGCACCUAGGUUGGUUCCAUAGUUAGCUAUUGUGAAGCCACAUUUAUGUGGCUGUGUCACUGUUGUAUGCUGAUUUUUAAGUCCUUUGGGUAUAAACCUAGGAGUGGGCUAGCUGGGUCAAAUGGUGGUUCCAUUCCAAGUUUUCUAAGGACUGCUUUCCGUAGUGGUUGCACCACCAGCAGUAUAUGAGUGUACCUUUCUCCCCACAUCCUUGCCAACAUUUAUUGUUGCUUAUAUUCUUUUUUUAUAUUUAUUUUUUAGGUUUAAGUGGACACAGUAUCUUUAUUUUACAUUUAUGUGGUGCUGAAUAUUGAACCCAGAGCCUCAUGCAUGCUAGGCGAGCACUUUACCACUGAGCCACAAACCCAGCCCCAUGUUGCUUAUAUUCUUGAUAAUUACCAUUCUGACUGGAGUGAGAUGAAAUCUUAGAGUAGUUUUGAUUUACAUUUCUCUAAUUGCUAGAGAUGUUGGAGCAUUUUUUCAUAUAUUGAUUGAUUGUGUUUCUUCUGCUGUGAAGUGUCUUUUCAGUUCCUUAGCCCAUUUAUUGAUUGGGAUAUUUUGAUUUUUUGGUGUUGGGGUUUUUGAGUUCUGGAGAUUAAUGCUCUAUCUGAGAUUCAUUUACCAGAUUUUCUCCCAUUCUGUAGGCUCUCUGUUCACAUUAUUGUUUCCUUUGCUGAGAAAGAAGCUUUUUAGUUUGAGCCCAUCUCAUUUAUUGAUUCUUGAUUUUACUUCUUGUGCUUUAGUAGUCAUGUUAAGGAAAUCAGUUCCUAAGCUGACAUGGUGAAGAUUUGGGUCUACUUAGGCAUAGGGUUUCUGUUCUAGUGCCUACAUCUUUGAUCCACUUUGAGUUGAGUUUUGUGCAGGGUGAAAGAUAAGGUUUAAUUUCAUUUUGCCACAUAUGGAUUUCCAGUUUUCCCAGCACCAUUUGUUGAAGAGACUGUCUUCUCUAUGUUUUUGGUGCCUUUGGCUAGUAUGAGAUAACUGUAUUUAUGUGGGUUUGUCUCUGUGUCUUCUAUUCUGUACCAUUGGUCUUCUGUUUUGGUGCCAAUACUAUGCUCUGUUGUAUAAUUUAAGGUCUGGUAUUAUGAUGCCUCCUGUUUUACUCUUCCUGCUAAGGAUUGCUUUGGCUAUUCUGGGCCUCUUAUUUCUUCAAAUGAAUUUAAUGGUUGCUUCAUCUAGUUCUAUGAAGAAUGUCAUUGAGAUUUUAAUAGGAAUUGCAUUAAAUCUGUAUAAUGCUUUUGGUACUAUGGCCAUUUUGACAAGAGUAAUUCUACCUAUCCAGGAGCAUGGGAGAUUUUUUCAUAUUCUAAGAUCUUCUUCAAUUUCUUUCUUUAGUUUUCAUUGUAGUGGUCAUUCACCUCUUUUGUUAGGUUGAUUCCCAAAUAUUUUACUUUAGUUGAGAAUAUUGUAAAUAGGGUAUUUUUCCUAAUUCUUUUUCAGUGGAUUCAUCACUGAUGUACAGGAACAUAUUUGAUUUAUGGGUGUUGAUUUUUUUAUCCUGCUAAUUUGCUGAAUUCGUUUAUUCUAGGAGUUUUCUGAUGGAAUUUUUUGGAUCUUCUAGCUAUAGAAUUAUGUCAUUGGCAAAUAGUGAUAAUUUGAGUUCUUCUUUUCCUAUUCAUAUCCCUUCAAUUUCUUUCUUCUGUCUAAUUGCUCUGGCUAGAGUUUCAAGGACAUUGUUGAAGUGGUGAAAGAGGGCAUCCUUGUCUUGUUCCAGUUUUUAGAGGGAAUGCUUUCAAAUUUUCUCCAUUUAUAAGAUAUUAGCCUUGGGUUUAGCAUAUAUAGCUUUUAUAAUGUUGAGGUAUGUUUGAAAUUUAUAAUGUAGGACAUUAUUAUUUAAGAUUUUUCUCAUAAGGGUCAUAAUAAAUAACAGCCAUCUUUUGUUGAGACCUUUACAAAUAUUUCAAAUAGCCUUUGCAAAUUUUGUUUUGAGCUGGGUGUUAUUGCCAUAUUACAGAUACACUGAGGUUCAGAGAAACUGAGUAACUUUCCCAAGGUGCCACAAAGCUGCAAAUUUAGAGAAGCACGCUUCUUCAGUGGGCCUUUUACUGAAUGUUUCUUUGUACACAUCCUCUUUACACAUCCCGUUUUGGAAACUAGAUUAUCAUCUCCUUAAGGACAGGGAAGGUUUUUUCCUGUCCUUUUUACCUAGUACAGUGUCCUGCACGUAGAGGAUACCCAGUAAAUAUUUAAUGUUGUUACUGGGCAAACUGCUACACUGGCAUGUUAAACAAAGUGUAGUUUUACACGGGCAGAAUGAACAAAGAGGCGGUAAACUUACCUAGGUGGUUCAUACCAGUAAAUUUAUUGGAUGACAUAAGAGAAAUAUGAAUCCUCUUUCCCGGGUAAAUUACAGAGGAGGGUAGAUUUGACCAUUCUGGUGGUCUUCUAAGAAAGGACAUAAUAUUUGCUUUUUUCCCCGACUAUCUUCUAGCAGUGAUUAAAGAAAAGAUCAAUUCCAUAGAACUGUUUAGAAUUUACUUGAGAAAACAUCAAUUUUUAUUAUUUAAUUUGGCUUUGGAAUUUUUCAGCAGUCCGGCAGAGGGCGGUGUUGAACUACCAAGAAGGUACCAAGAACUAAUGGGUUCUUCAAAACUGGGUGCUGUCCCACUGAGUAAUGGUUAUAUGAAUAAGAGAGGGAAGCAGGUUGGGGCCAUGGCUCACCUAGUGUGCAUGAAGCACUGGGUUCGAUCCUCAGCACCACAUAAAAAUAAAAUAAAGAUAUUGUGCCCAUCUAUAACUAAAAAAUAUUUUUUUUUUAAAAAAAGAGAGGGAAACAUUUUUUUUUUAACUGAAAUAGAUAAUAAAAAGCUUGUUUAUUGCAGUCUUUCUUCUGAAACAAGGUCUUGCUAGGUUGCCAGCUUUGUGGUUAACUGGGCUCAAGCGAUCCUCCUGUUUCAGACUCCCAAGUAGCUGGGACUACAGGGUAUGAAUGAUUGCAUGAAUUUACUAUAUAAUUUUUUCAUUUCUUAAAGACUAGAUAAAAGUAACUGCUAUAGGUUUCAAAUCAACAAGCAUUCUAAUUUGGAAGAUUUGUUUAAUAAAUAUCUAUAAAGUUUGAAGUGUGCGAAAAUGAUAAUUUCCAUUCAUGUCUGAUGGCAAUACUGAUUGAAACAUACAAUGUAUCUGUCAAUAUGAAUAUAUCAGUGUGUUAGGCCAUGGGCUAAGAACUUUCUGUACAUUAUUCUCAGAACAGCUCUAUGAAAUGAAUAGUGUUCUUAUUCUUUUUAUUUUUAAAUUUUUAUUUAUUUUUAAUUUACAAAAUCAUGUUUAUUGAAUACAACAUAUUGUUUUGAAAUAUGUUUUAUCUGCUUUUAAAAAAAUGAGAAAAGAAGCUAGGCAUGGUGGCACAUACUGGCAAUCCCAGCUACUCAGGAGGCUGAGGCAGGAGGAGCAUAUGUUUGAGGCCGGCUUCAGCAAUUUAGCAAGGCCCUAAGCAAGACCCUGACUUGAAAUAAAAAAAUAAAUAAAGGACUAGGGAAUCCCUAGUACCGCCCCCCAAUUUUUUUUAAAGGCUGGGGAUAUAGCUCAGUGGUAGAAUACCCCUGGAUUCAAUCUCCAAUACCACAAAAACAAAACAAAAACCAAAAAGAACACAAAAGAGGCCCAGUUGUGCUUGCUGCUAAUUCCAGCUACUUGGCAGGUUGAGGCAGAAGGAUCCCUUGAACCUAGGAAUUUGGGACCAGCUUAGGUAACAUAGCAAGACCCUGUCUCUAAAGACAAAAACAACAAAAAAUAAGAAAAUAGUGUCUUAGUUCAAGAUGAUUUCCACUGAUAAGUAACAAAACUGGGACUUGAAUUGGAGGUUUGAAUACCAGAAUCCAUGCUUAUGCCUAGUAAAUUUUACAGCAAAUGACUCUUUCCUCUGUUCAUGGCCCAAUUAUGUGAAUAAUAGUGAAUUUGAGUUUUUUCCCCUUUAACUUUCAGUUGUUGUUGAAGUAUGUAACAACAUUCUGACCCUCCACUACUUACUUUAGGAAUAUUACUGGGAAAUUUGACUUUUAAUUUCCUGGUGGGAUAGUAAUUUAAACUCAGAUGCCAUAGAAUGAUUUGAUUCCUGGUCAAAACACGCAUAUUUAGAAAGUAGCAUGAUACAAUGAAAACUGAAAUUGAGAACCAGGUAAUCUGAUUUAUAGUGUAUUUUACUAAUAUCUGAAUGUGUUUCAGAACUAAUCUCACUAGACCACUGUCUUUCAAAUGAAGGACUAGGAAACUUCAGUUCCCAAAUCUGAGUUUGGUGGUUUUGUAUGUGGGAAUUUUUCUGUUUCAUAUCCACAUGUUAACAUGUCUUGUUCAAUUUCUUGGAGCACUGUGUUAAUAUAAAUGAGAUAAUGUGCCUCGUUUAGCACUCGUGAGGAAUUCUCAAAAGGGUGUAAAGUUCAGAGUCAUUUGUCUGUGACAUUUCUUAGGACAUGGUCUUUCUUCUAUCUAUCCAUGAGUUCCUGGGAAUAGCUUGUACAUUCUUCCUUUAAUUUUGGUUAAAUCAUUUCCUUAGAGGAAAAAAAGGCUAUAUCUGGUCUUUAACUCUUGGUGAAAGGGUGUGGAAUUUGUCAACUUUUGGAAGAAGACUGCAGAAUAAAGGAUGUCAUAAUCUCUAUUCUUAUUCCUUACCUUUCUUCUGUGGAGGCAUUUAGGAAUUAUAUCUUUCUGAAAGUUAAGUGAUGGCAUCAGUUCUUAAAAUAAGCAAAACGUGAAGAGAAUGAUCGCCCAAUUCUUCUGUGAAUGGUUAAUAUAAUGCUGCUUUUUUUUUUUUUCUUUCUCUUUUUUUGGCACCGGGGAUUGAACCCAGGGACACUUUACCACUGAGCUACAUCCUAGCCCUUUUAUUUUGAGACAGGGUCUUACUAAAUUGCUUAUGCUGGCCUCCAAUUUGCCAUCCUCCUGCCUUAGCAUCCCAAGUAGCUGGGGGUUACAGGAUUACAGCAUCUACCACUGUACCUCUGCUAAAGUUAUUUUUCUCUACAGUUUUAGAGAAAAGUCUUUGGGCCACAUAUGUGUACAUCUAGUUCUUAUUAGUUACUAAAGGAUUUGUAGAUGGUAUACAUUCAUUCAACAAGCAUUGAACACUGUGUUAACCAUGGAAAUAUAGCCUUGAACAAAACACAAACAUCCCUAACCUCAUGGAACUUACAAUCUAGUGAGGACAAUAAGUCAAUAAAGAAAAUAAGUAUAAUAUAUAGUAAUUAUAUGGUGGUAGAUUCUAUAGAGAAAAAUAAAACUUGUUUAAAGAAGGGAGGUAGAGGAGUAUUGGAAUGUGUAAAGUUUGCAGUUAUAAAUAGAGUAUUCAGCGAGGCAUGGUGGCACGUGCCUGUAGUCUGUAGUCCCAGCACUCAGAAAGCUGAAGCAGGAGGAUUGCUUAAACCCAAGCAUUUGGGGGCAGACUGGGCAAGGUAAUGAGACGCUGUCUUUAAAAAAGAAAAAAGACACUGGUGUGAUGGUGCAUGUCUCUAAUCCCAGCAGUUCUGGAGGAUGAGGCCAGAGGGUAGUGAGUUCAAAGCCAACCUCAGCAAUUUAGCAAGGCCCUAAGCAACUUAGACCUUGUCUCAAAACAAAAAAUUUUAAAACAGGCUGGGGAUGUGGCUCAGUGGUUAAGUGCCCCUGAGUUCAACCCCUAGUACAAAAAGAGAAAAGAAAAAAAAAAAAAGUAAUAAAAUAUUCAGGAAAUAAUUUGCUGAAAAGUGGACAUGGAGCAAAAACUGGAAGGAAGUGAAAGGAAUAAGCCACAUGGACUCUUGAUAAAAAUAAAAAAAAAAACAAAUAAACAGAAAACUUUCCAGGUAAAGGGAAGAGCAACUACAAAAUUCCUGAAGUGGGAGUGAGCUGUUCAUAAAGAGCAAAGUGGUCAGGGUAGCCGAGGGGCAGACAGAUGAUGGACAGUAGUUUGUGUGUGACUCUAACGUGAGGAUGUCGACUUUCCCCUAAGACAGAAUGUCACUCUCUGCUUCCUGAUCAACGUGUGAGCUGCUUCCCUCUGCCACACUCCUCUGCCCUGACAUCCUGCUGGAGCACCAGGGAAUGAAGCCGCCUUCUAUGGACUGAGACCUCUGAACCCAUGACCCCUGCCUUGUGUAUGCCUUGGCCACUCACCUGCCAUCUGCCGCUGUGGACCUCUGGACUGCUCUGAUGCUGGAUGCUAUCCCCGCCCCAUCUAAGAGAGAACAAGGACUUGGGUGACUUCUCCCAACUUCUCCCACUUUCAGCAGGAAACACUUUGGAGAUGUCCUUGCCCAUUUUUCCAUAGAAAUGGAUUGUAGAAAUUGAUAGUGGGAAAUGUAACAGAGGUCCACUUUAUGCUUGGAAUAUAGCCCUUGCUGCUCUGCCAUGCACCUUAUUUUCAAAAUGAACAUGUUUCUUUCUCUUCCCCUCUACCAGCUCCUCCCUAAUCUUUCCCCCUCCCUAAUCUCUGGGGACAGGGGAUUUCCUCUCUUCCCCUUCUGUCCCUGAGCACACUCCCACCAGAGGAACGAACUAUCUAGACUUUGGGGAUGGACCAGAAGAUCUCAGAAAUGAUUCUCUCCCAAAUUAACAAGUGAAUACAACUCCAGACAGAGAACACAUGGAAUGUGGCCUUUGAGUCACCUCUUUAAAAGCCCCAUGUUCCUGCAGAUGGGCAGAAUCACAGCCUUUGGGACAGGAGUUCCCUGUUUCUCCUUUGCUAGCUAAGCAAUAAACCUUCUUUUUCUUUUUUUUUUUUCUCAAAAAAAGAAAAAAAAGAAUGUCACUGGAGAGCUUUGAGAAGAGAGGCUCACUGCUGAGAAUUAAUUUCAGGGGACCUAGGCAAAAGAAGGGAAAUCAGUCAGGAGUCUUUAAAAUAAAUAGUUUAGAUUGAGUUGGGAGAUUUUAGCUGGAGACCUGGAGAUGGGGAGGGCGAGGUUGGAUUCUGAAGACUGUGAUAACAGACUGUAGGAAAAGUGGGUUCUGUGGGAGAAGACUGCAUUUCCCUGUUAGCUUCACUGUCACUUUUGUCACCUACAGGCCACACAACUGGAACUCAGAAAUGACCAAUUUUCAGCUUCUUACUUUCCCAAACCAUGCUGUAUGCCAUAGGAAUUAAGACUAGGUUGUUUGGGGGAAAUAAAUGCUAGAGCAAUACAAAUUAAUUGGAUAUUUGCCUCAUAUUUUAUUGUUUUGACAUUGUUUUAAAAGGUUAUAUAAACUCCGAAUGGAGCUACAAGUGAUCUAAACACUUCUGCUGCUUUAUUAUAAAUGCUUUUGUAAUCAUGUUAAUUAUAUUACUUUUAACUGAAUAAGGCCUGUGUCUCUUCCUUAUAAAUUGAUGUUUAUAUCCUCUGUAAGAUAAAUAUAAAGCCUUUUUGUUCACAUUUUUAUGUACUUGAGCACCCACUAUAAGAAUGUAGUUGGCAGUGGAUGGUGGAUUUAUAUUAUUAGUCUUAGCUUACUGUUGUAACAUAACAAUUACGCAAAAUAUAUAAUUUGUUUUUGUUAUUUAACGUAGAACUGUAACAGCGUAGACUUAGUGAAGAUGACAUAAGGUACAACAAGGCAAGUAAAUUGCUAUCUAAGUAAAACUUUUACUUCUAAUAUUAGUAGAGUAAUAAAUUUCUCAGUGCUUUCUUUGUUUCCGUGUUCCAAAAUUUCCCUAAACUCUGGUAUAUAUUCAUUGAACAAUAUUUCCUUGAGCUCUGUCUCUCUUUUCAAUGCUGGGAAUGGAAACAUCCUUAGCCCCAAAUAAUAUUUCUGAUUUGAAUAAUUUAGUUUAAGAACAAUGCUGGGUGUGGUGGUGCAUGCCUGUAAUCCCAGUGACUAAGAAGGCUGCAGUAGGAGGAUCACAAGUUCAAAGCCAGCCUCCAUCAUGACUUAGCAAGACCCUAAGCAACUUUGUGAGACCCUGUCUCAAAAACAAAAAGGGUUUUGGUUGUGGCCCAGUGGUUAAGCACCCCUGUGUUCAAUUUCCAAUCCAAAAAAAAUAAUAAUAAUAAUUUAGUUUAAGAAGAAAUAAAGUGUUAACUUUUCCCCAAAUCACUCUCAGUGUUUGUGUUAGCCAGCUUCCUAUUACUGUAACAAAAUACCUGAGAUAAUCAACUUAGAAACAGGAAAGUUUUAUUUUGGUUCACAGUUCUGGAGGUUUAAGUCCAUGGUCAGUAGGUUUCUUUGCUUUGGGGCAGAAUAUCAUUGUGGGCAGUGUGUGGUGGGAAAAACUACUUACCUCAUGGUGGCUGGGAAGCCAAGGAGUGAAGAGUAGGGAAGGGGUCCCAAUAUUCCCUGAUGACCUAACCUCUUCCUUCUAAGUUCCACUUCUUUUUUAUGGUUGUUAAUAUUUUUUUAGUUGUUGAUGUGUCACUUGAUGCUUUAACUAUAUCAUCUCUUCCCAGAUCUUCUCUGAUCUUCUUUUCCCUAACCUCUCCUCCCCUCUUCUCCUCCCUGAUCUCCCGUCCCUAAUCCAUUUUCUCUGAAUCACCUCUUUAAAAGCCUCCUGUUGCUGCUGAUGGAUAGAAUCACAGCCUUUGAGACAGGAGUCCCCUGUGUUUCUCCUUUGCUAGCAAAGCAAUAAACCUUCUUUUUUCCUUU